Molecule: long non-coding RNA, 1005 nt
Filed under: Manihot esculenta (cassava)
Lineage: Eukaryota; Viridiplantae; Streptophyta; Magnoliopsida; Malpighiales; Euphorbiaceae
Description: long non-coding RNA (MESC_LNC002482)
Source: RNAcentral
UAUCGGUAGCAGUACUGCGAACUCUGUAUGUUUAUAUGGCAUGCCAUACCCUUAUACUAACCUCGACUCCUAUUACGUUUACCAGGGCCAAGCACUAUUAAUUCAAUGUAUCAAUGUAAAAUGCAUGCCAUUUGAAGCUAUUUGAAUUCAUUUUCCAAGUUACAUAUAUCAUAUGCCAAGAUUUACAAUAUGGAAAACUCAUGGCAAAUAGUGCAAAACUUUAUUGACUUAGCAUUUUAAUGUAGAAAACUACAUUCUGCCAUAUAUUGCAUCAACUUUUCAAGUAGUUUAGAGUUAUAAUUUAACUUCAUUUUCUUCAUAAGAAAUGUACAUUUAUGUCUUAUCUUUCCAACAAGGUAUGAUUCAUGCAAUUCUGAUCAUCCUAACUUAAGUUAUGAAUUUUUCUUUACAAGCUGCUCAAUCAGGUCUUAAUCAGUCCAGUAUUAGUACCUGUUAUAGUAUCACAAAAUUAUCAGAUUCAUACAUUUCCAUACAAAUUCAAGCUUAAGUGUCUUCUACAAAGUUUUAGGUAUACUUCUUAAGAUUCAAUUGGAACUGGUCUUAACAAAUUUCACUGAGUACAAAAUUAGUUAUGGUAUCAUCAAUAGACUCUGUUCCGGAUGCACUACCACUGUAUCCAGUUUAGGUUCACUUGCAAUUUUCAUCAUCUUAAAUACAGAUUUCGAAUUUGGUCAAUUCAUAAAAGUUUUAGAUCUUUGUCUUAUCUUUCAUUUGGUAUAUCUUAGGACUAAUUUCAAUAAAUACACAAUAAGUUAUAAGGCUUCCAACACUGACUGUCCUGUUAGAACCUAUUCUGGCAGAUUUGCACUUUUAGCUCUCAUGUUAAAUUUCUUUACUCUAAGCCUUUCAAACAUCAUUUUAACAUUCAUAUAACAUAUUUAUACAGUCAAAGCAACAUUUCCAGCAAGUAAAAUCAACCCCUAAUUUCACUUAUUCAUGGCAGAAUCCAAGGAAAACAGAAAAUCAUACAAACACCAAACCUUU